Molecule: transfer RNA, 57 nt
Filed under: Capsicum annuum
Lineage: Eukaryota; Viridiplantae; Streptophyta; Magnoliopsida; Solanales; Solanaceae
Rfam family: tRNA
About the family: Transfer RNA (tRNA) molecules are approximately 80 nucleotides in length. Their secondary structure includes four short double-helical elements and three loops (D, anti-codon, and T loops).
Source: Rfam by way of RNAcentral
UAGCUCAGUGGUAGAGCAUUUGACUGCAGAUCAAGAGGUCACCAAUUCGAACCUGGU